RNAcentral lists this ribosomal RNA (492 nucleotides) under uncultured bacterium. RNAcentral describes it as "partial 16S ribosomal RNA". It matches the Rfam family "Bacterial small subunit ribosomal RNA", at positions 29 to 507 of the family's 1533-position model. The record is from RNAcentral.
AGUGAACGCUGGCGGUAGGCCUAACACAUGCAAGUCGAACGGCAGCACAGUAAGAGCUUGCUCUUACGGGUGGCGAGUGGCGGACGGGUGAGGAAUACAUCGGAAUCUACUUUUUCGUGGGGGAUAACGUAGGGAAACUUACGCUAAUACCGCAUACGACCUACGGGUGAAAGCAGGGGAUUUUCGGACCUUGCGCGAUUGAAUGAGCCGAUGUCGGAUUAGCUAGUUGGCGGGGUAAAGGCCCACCAAGGCGACGAUCCGUAGCUGGUCUGAGAGGAUGAUCAGCCACACUGGAACUGAGACACGGUCCAAACUCCUACGGGAGGCAGCAGUGGGGAAUAUUGGACAAUGGGCGCAAGCCUGAUCCAGCCAUACCGCGUGGGUGAAGAAGGCCUUCGGGUUGUAAAGCCCUUUUGUUGGGAAAGAAAAGCAGCAGGUUAAUACCCCGCUGUUCUGACGGUACCCAAAGAAUAAGCACCGGCUAACUUCGUG